GAGGCUUUGGGCCGUGUGCUUGGGCGCUUUUGUCCUUUGGGGACUAGAUUAUGCAUGCACAUAUAUGAUGAGAUAUGAGAUGGUAUUUCCCUGUCUAUCCGUGUAGCUCCGGGGGGUGACGUUACCCAGAUAGUACGUCAUUGCCCGUCCGUUGAGGUCCGGAUAUGACGAGAUUAUUUCCCUGGGUACUUGUUUGGUGAUGAUUUUCAGAUUUGUGAAUUCUAUAUGAUAUUGUGAUAUGAUUUCCAUGGUUAGUAAUCUGAUUUAAAUGUUUAAUGAUUUAUUACUAGUUUCUCGCUUAUGGUUUAAUGAAAUCGUGUUUGGAAAUGAUAUGAUUAUUUCUUUUAAAGUACGAAUUAAUUUUCAAAACUACUAUCUACUCACUGAUCUCACUGAGUUUUAAACUCACCCCGUUUUUAUUAUAUUUUCCCCCCUCACUAGGAGGUUGUAGGUACACCAGACCGAC
RNAcentral lists this long non-coding RNA (466 nucleotides) under Citrus maxima (pomelo). RNAcentral's name for it is "long non-coding RNA (CMAX_LNC002171)". Lineage: Eukaryota; Viridiplantae; Streptophyta; Magnoliopsida; Sapindales; Rutaceae. The record is from RNAcentral.